RNAcentral lists this ribosomal RNA (253 nucleotides) under uncultured bacterium. RNAcentral describes it as "partial 16S ribosomal RNA". It matches the Rfam family "Bacterial small subunit ribosomal RNA", at positions 524 to 776 of the family's 1533-position model. The record is from RNAcentral.
UACGUAGGGACCGAGCGUUGUCCGGAAUCAUUGGGCGUAAAGAGCGUGUAGGCGGCUAUUUAAGUCAGGCGUGAAAGCCCCGGGCUCAACCUGGGAACCGCGAUUGAGACUGGAGAACUAGAGUUCGGGAGAGGAUGGUGGAAUUCCCAGUGUAGAGGUGAAAUUCGUAGAUAUUGGGAAGAACACCGAUGGCGAAGGCAGCCAGCUGGACCGACACUGACGCUGAGGCGCGAAAGCGUGGGGAGCAAACAGG